Molecule: ribosomal RNA, 393 nt
Filed under: uncultured bacterium
Lineage: Bacteria
Description: partial 16S ribosomal RNA
Rfam family: Bacterial small subunit ribosomal RNA
Source: RNAcentral
AUACGGAGGAUCCGAGCGUUAUCCGGAUUUAUUGGGUUUAAAGGGAGCGUAGGCGGACGCUUAAGUCAGUUGUGAAAGUUUGCGGCUCAACCGUAAAAUUGCAGUUGAUACUGGGUGUCUUGAGUACAGUAGAGGCAGGCGGGGGUCGUGGUGUAGCGGGGAAAUGCUUAGAUAUCACGAAGAACUCCGAUUGCGAAGGCAGCCUGCUGGACUGUAACUGACGCUGAUGCUCGAAAGUGUGGGUAUCAAACAGGAUUAGAUACCCUGGUAGUCCACACAGUAAACGAUGAAUACUCGCUGUUUGCGAUAUACAGUAAGCGGCCAAGCGAAAGCAUUAAGUAUUCCACCUGGGGAGUACGCCGGCAACGGUGAAACUCAAAUGAAUUGACGGGG